Molecule: transfer RNA, 71 nt
Filed under: Bacteroidales bacterium
Lineage: Bacteria; Pseudomonadati; Bacteroidota; Bacteroidia; Bacteroidales
Description: tRNA-Trp
Rfam family: tRNA
About the family: Transfer RNA (tRNA) molecules are approximately 80 nucleotides in length. Their secondary structure includes four short double-helical elements and three loops (D, anti-codon, and T loops). Further hydrogen bonds mediate the characteristic L-shaped molecular structure. tRNAs have two regions of fundamental functional importance: the anti-codon, which is responsible for specific mRNA codon recognition, and the 3' end, to which the tRNAs corresponding amino acid is attached (by aminoacyl-tRNA synthetases). tRNAs cope with the degeneracy of the genetic code in two manners: having more than one tRNA (with a specific anti-codon) for a particular amino acid; and 'wobble' base-pairing, i.e. permitting non-standard base-pairing at the 3rd anti-codon position.
Source: RNAcentral
AGGGGUUUGGUGUAAUGGCAGCAUUGUGGUCUCCAAAACCACCGAUGGGAGUUCGAAUCUCUCCGCCCCUG